CCCAAACUCACGUGAAUUUCAAAACCCUCAAGAACUCCAUUAUCUCCCCACGCCGUUGUCCUCGUUGUUGCCCAGCCACCGGACCACCACCGCUCCCGCCGGUAAGCCGUGUUCUCUCCUUCGUCCUCUUCCUCUUCAUCGAGUUCCUGCUACCUUGCUCCUCUUUUCUCAUAGUCUCGUCGUUCUCGCUUCCCCUCUGCCGUGUCGGUUUCGCACGCAGCAGCAGCAGUCACAAGCACCCUCGCCGCCGUCCACCACCUCGCCGCAGCCCCGCCGUCUAGCACGUUAACAUCCCCUUCUCCUUAUCCUCCCUUUUUCUUUUAUUUUCGUUCCUUUUAUUGCUUGUUCUCUUCGAUUUUCGUGGCUGACCACCACCUAUUCGCGCAGCAACCACCGCACGCAACCGCCGUGCUCAGCCCUCGCCGCGAGCCACCACCUGUUCGCCGGCCAGCCUCCUCUCUCCUCUUCAAUUCUUGGCGGAGAAUUCUUUGUAGGCGAUUUUUGAAUUCGUUAAAGUGGCCUAUCAGUUUGUUUACACAAGUCUCUAAGAAUCAAUAAGCAUUGUCCAUCUGCAGGUUUGAAGAUGUUGCAUCAUUGGGAUCAGGAAUAGAGAGCUUGUAUUUAGUUUUGAUUUACUAAGUUGACUUGGGUUUGUUAAUUGGGACUUUAAACUUGUCGUACUAUUUAUAUUUCCUUAUUUUCGUUGGAUGAUUUUUUGGGACUAAACCUGUAAUCGAUUAUUUAUAAACCUAAAGUUAGUUUUAUGUUUUCCGCU
This is a long non-coding RNA of Spinacia oleracea (spinach), 775 nucleotides long. RefSeq lists it as uncharacterized. The transcript is spliced from 3 exons. The record is from RefSeq and is a predicted model, not a curated record. NCBI's taxonomy places the organism in Eukaryota, Viridiplantae, Streptophyta, Magnoliopsida, Caryophyllales, Amaranthaceae.